RNAcentral lists this ribosomal RNA (273 nucleotides) under uncultured prokaryote. Its description in RNAcentral is "partial 16S ribosomal RNA". It matches the Rfam family "Bacterial small subunit ribosomal RNA", at positions 524 to 796 of the family's 1533-position model. The record is from RNAcentral.
GACGAACUGUGCAAACGUUAUUCGGAAUCACUGGGCUUGAAGAGUGCGUAGGCGGUUUCGUAAGUAGGGUGUGAAAGCCCUCGGCUCAACCGGGGAAUUGCGUCCUAAACUGCGAGGCUAGAGUGAGGUAGGGGUGUGCGGAACUUCCAGUGGAGCGGUGAAAUGUGUUGAUAUUGGAAGGAACGCCGGUGGCGAAAGCGGCACACUGGACCUUGUCUGACGCUGAGGCACGAAAGCCAGGGGAGCAAACGGGAUUAGAAACCCUUGUAGUCC